RNAcentral lists this unclassified non-coding RNA (227 nucleotides) under plant metagenome. RNAcentral's name for it is "partial contains small subunit ribosomal RNA, internal transcribed spacer 1, and 5.8S ribosomal RNA". The record is from RNAcentral.
UUUCCGCAGGUGAACCUGCGGAAGGAUCAUUAAAGAAUUUGCCCCGUCCUCUCGAGGAUGGGUCCUCUUCUAAACCGUGUAUACAUACCUUUGUUGCUUUGGCGGGCCGCCGUCUCGGCGUUGGCUUCGGCUGACUGUGCCCGCCAGAGAACCCCAACUCUUCUGUUUAGUAUUGUCUGAGUACUAUAUAAUAGUUAAAACUUUCAACAACGGAUCUCUUGGUUCUG